GGGUGAGUAACACGUGGAUAACCUACCUGGAAGUGGGGAACAACCUGGGGAAACCGAGGCUAAUUCCGCAUGCGCAUGCACUCCUCAAGGAGUGCCUGUAAAGAUGGCCUCUUCUUGAAAGCUGUCGCUAUCAGAUGGGUCCGCGGCUGAUUAGCUAGUUGGUGGGGUAACGGCCUACCAAGGCUGCGAUCAGUAACCGGCCUGAGAGGGUGAUCGGUCACACUGGAACUGAGACACGGUCCAGACUCCUACGGGAGGCAGCAGUGGGGAAUAUUGGACAAUGGGCGAAAGCCUGAUCCAGCAACGCCGCGUGGAGGAUGAAGGCCUUCGGGUUGUAAACUCCUGUCUGGUGGGACGAAAAGACUUCGGUCAAUAUCCGGAGUCCGUGACGGUACCACCGAAGGAAGCCCCGGCUAACUACGUGCCAGCAGCCGCGGUAACACGUAGGGGGCGAGCGUUAUUCGGAAUUAUUGGGCGUAAAGGGCGCGUAGGCGGCCCGACAAGUCAGGGGUGAAAUCCCUCGGCUCAACCGAGGAACUGCCUCUGAAACUGUCGGGCUU
Molecule: ribosomal RNA, 560 nt
Filed under: uncultured bacterium
Lineage: Bacteria
Description: bacterial SSU rRNA
Rfam family: Bacterial small subunit ribosomal RNA
Source: RNAcentral